UUUCUUUUGACAUUACCCUGGCCUAGAUGACACCCGUGAGUGGGGAGGGAAUGAUCAUUUUACAGGUACAGUUGGUGACUUGUUGGUGACUAUUGACCUGUUGGUGACUCUUGGUUCCUGUUGGUGACUUGGUUCAGAGAUAUGGGUCUCAGAUGACUUUGGGUCUCAGAUGACUUUGUGGUUCCGAAUACAAGCCGAAGCUUUGAACCUGUGCUCCGUGAUACACAGCCAGCCAGUCAUUGCAUCAUUUGCAUCAUAGCAUGUUUGUUUUUAAAAAAAAAUGAAAAGAAGAAAGAAAAGAAAAGAAAAAAAGCUAAUCUCCU
RNAcentral lists this long non-coding RNA (323 nucleotides) under Lathyrus oleraceus (garden pea). RNAcentral's name for it is "Pisum sativum (pea) long non-coding RNA (PSAT_LNC020800)". Lineage: Eukaryota; Viridiplantae; Streptophyta; Magnoliopsida; Fabales; Fabaceae. The record is from RNAcentral.